Non-coding RNA from Pelobates cultripes (western spadefoot toad), 219 nucleotides. The record is from the annotation of a GenBank genome assembly. NCBI's taxonomy places the organism in Eukaryota, Metazoa, Chordata, Amphibia, Anura, Pelobatidae.
GGAUGAGACAAGACAAUGACAAAGAACAACUUUCAUAAUGAUGUGUAAUUCACAAGAUCAUUAUGUAAUUGCUUGGCAAGCAAAAAUGGUUAAUCGCCGAUCAGAGCUGUGGGGCCUAGUCCGCUCUGAAUCGACUAACAUACCUUGUACAAAUGGAACAUAUAUUUUUUUUAAUUACAGGGGGAAAAAAAUAAAUGAAAGAGAUCACAUUUCUUUCGG